Molecule: ribosomal RNA, 347 nt
Filed under: uncultured bacterium
Lineage: Bacteria
Description: partial 16S ribosomal RNA
Rfam family: Bacterial small subunit ribosomal RNA
Source: RNAcentral
ACUACGGGUGGCAGCAGUGAGGAAUAUUGGUCAAUGGGCGCGAGCCUGAACCAGCCAAGUCGCGUGAGGGAAGACGGUCCUAUGGAGUGUAAACCUCUUUUGUCGGGGAGCAAAAGACGCCACGCGUGGCGUUCCGAGAGUACCCGAAGAAAAAGCAUAGGCUAACUCCGUGCCAGCAGCAGCGCUAAUACGGAGGAUGCGAGCGUUAUCCGGAUUUAUUGGGUGUAAAGGGGGCGCAGGCGGAAGAUGAAGUCAGCGGUAAAAUUGAGAGGCUCAACCUCUUCGAGCCGUUGAUACUGGUUUUCUUGAGUGAGUGAUAAGUAUGCGGAAUGCGUGGUGUAGCGUUG